This 102-nucleotide signal recognition particle RNA is filed under the name uncultured Alistipes sp. RNAcentral describes it as "Bacteroidales small SRP". It matches the Rfam family "Bacteroidales small SRP". Rfam says of the family: The non-coding component of the signal recognition particle in Bacteroides Lineage: Bacteria; Pseudomonadati; Bacteroidota; Bacteroidia; Bacteroidales; Rikenellaceae. The record is from RNAcentral.
AGUCGGGUAAGUCUUAUACGACCAGCUCCCGCAGAACUCCCCCAGGCGAGGAAUCGAGCAAGGGUAUGCGGUCGUAGCGGUGCGAUAUAAGUCGCUUACCCU